RNAcentral lists this ribosomal RNA (351 nucleotides) under Triticum aestivum (bread wheat). RNAcentral's name for it is "partial small subunit ribosomal RNA". The record is from RNAcentral. Lineage: Eukaryota; Viridiplantae; Streptophyta; Magnoliopsida; Poales; Poaceae.
AUGAACUCUGUGUUCUCCGGACCAAAUCGUAAGUUCGUCAUUACUUUCCUUGAUGAUAUCUUGGUUUUCAUCCGUUCUCUACAGGAGCAUGCUGAUCAUCUACGCACUAUCUUCUCCAUUCUGCGACAACAUCAACUGUAUGCCAAACAAUCCAAGUGCUCCUUCGCACAACCCAACAUUGAGUACCUCGGGCAUGUUAUUUCCAGGGAGGGCGUGGCAACUGAUAAUAGCAAGACCAGUGCCAUGUCUGCGUGGCCGACACCGACAAAUGCCACUAAACUCCGGGGUUUUUUGGGCCUGACAGGCUAUUACCGCAAGAUUGUGAAGAACUAUGGGAUUCUCGCCCAUUGA